RNAcentral lists this ribosomal RNA (253 nucleotides) under uncultured bacterium. RNAcentral's name for it is "partial 16S ribosomal RNA". It matches the Rfam family "Bacterial small subunit ribosomal RNA", at positions 524 to 776 of the family's 1533-position model. The record is from RNAcentral.
UACGUAGGGUCCGAGCGUUGUCCGGAAUUAUUGGGCGUAAAGGGCUCGUAGGCGGUUUGUCACGUCGGGAGUGAAAACUCAGGGCUCAACCCUGAGCGUGCUUCCGAUACGGGCAGACUAGAGGUAUGCAGGGGAGAACGGAAUUCCUGGUGUAGCGGUGGAAUGCGCAGAUAUCAGGAGGAACACCGGUGGCGAAGGCGGUUCUCUGGGCAUUACCUGACGCUGAGGAGCGAAAGCAUGGGGGGCGAACAGG